UUUCCGUAGGUGAACCUGCGGAAGGAUCAUUGUCGAAACCUGCCCAGCAGAACGACCCGCGAACUUGUAUAAACGACCGGGGGCGGGGGGCGUUCUCGCCCCGUGCCCCCGAACGGCGGGGAGACACUCGUGCCUUCUUGCCGAACAACGAACCCCGGCGCGGUCUGCGCCAAGGAACUUCAACUAAAGAGUGCCUCCGGUCGCCUCGGAAACGGCGUGCGUGCCGGGGGCGAAUCUUGUGCAAAACCAUAACGACUCUCGGCAACGGAUAUCUCGGCUCUC
This 282-nucleotide unclassified non-coding RNA is filed under the name plant metagenome. Its description in RNAcentral is "partial contains small subunit ribosomal RNA, internal transcribed spacer 1, and 5.8S ribosomal RNA". The record is from RNAcentral.